Molecule: ribosomal RNA, 614 nt
Filed under: uncultured marine bacterium
Lineage: Bacteria
Description: bacterial SSU rRNA
Rfam family: Bacterial small subunit ribosomal RNA
Source: RNAcentral
GGGGAAUCUUCCGCAAUGGGCGAAAGCCUGACGCAGCGACGUCGCGUGGGGGAUGAAUGCCUUCGGGUUGUAAACCCCUUUUGUUUGGGGCGAAGUUCUGACGGUACCAAACGAAUAAGCCUCGGCUAACUACGUGCCAGCAGCAGCGGUAAUACGUAGGAGGCGAGCGUUGCCCGGAUUUAUUGGGCGUAAAGGGCGCGUAGGCGGCCUGGAAAGUCCUUUGUGAAAUUUCCCGGCUCAACUGGGAGGGGUCAGAGGAAACUACCAGGCUUGAGGGGAGCAGAGGAGAACGGAAUUCCCGGUGUAGCGGUGAAAUGCAUAGAUAUCGGGAGGAACACUUGUGGCGAAGGCGGUUCUCUGGGCUCUUCCUGACGCUGAGGCGCGAAAGCGUGGGGAGCAAACCGGAUUAGAUACCCGGGUAGUCCACGCCGUAAACUAUGGACACUGGGUACAGGGGGUAUCGACCCCCUCUGUGCCGAAGCUAACGCGUUAAGUGUCCCGCCUGGGGAGUACGGCCGCAAGGCUAAACUCAAAGGAAUUGACGGGGGCCCGCACAAGCCACCGGAGCGUGUGGUUUAAUUCGAUGCCAAGCGAAGAACCUUACCUGGGCUUGA